GCGUGAUUUGGAAAAUGGGGAAUUCCACAGGGUUUCUGAGACAUUCGUCGCCGCCGCGCGCAUUGGCGAGGCGGAGAGAGAGUGAGAGUGAGGAGGAGUUUGGGUGAUCUCUCCCCCGUCGCUAGGGCAUUCGCUUCCUCCCUCCUUAAGCACGCACGUAUGCGGACUCGGUUUCUGAAGUGUCUUCAAGAAAAGUUCCUUCUCUGGGCUUAGCAUAUCUGGUGCAUCUACUAGUUUGUUAGAUUGAUAAGAUCUGCUGUUACAAAUAUAUUUUUCAUAGAAAUGCUCCCUUUGCCCCCAGUCUGGAGAUUCCUCAUAAGCACGUUGACAGGGCACACUCUUCAACUCACUAAGCUUUGUAUGGAUAUGUGACUUCAAUUCUGGACACAGUUCACUCUUAUUUUUGCAAUCAUCAUGGUACCCAUAGAGUUCUCCCACAAAAUCUGCUAAAGAAAGUUCAAGAUCAUCUUCUUCUGCCUGUUUCAUGGAUUUGGAACCACUUGGAUCCAGCAAACCAGACGGAGAAGCCAUGGCUGUGCUUGUGCUGUGACUUUUGGCUCUGUUUUGUUUGGUGCUCUGCAUUGAACUUUUUUCCAGACAGACAUCAUGUCCCAGGUCAGCUAAUAUUCUUUGAACCUCUUCCUUGGGAAUCUUUUUCACCUGUUUUACCUUACCCAGCUCGUCCUCCAUGAGUCUUUUGACGGUUUGUUUCCUUGUGUCGCAUUCCUCUAUGUUCUGAGAAAUAUAAGAACAAUACACUUAUUCCAAGAAGUAAUCUUUAACAUGCAUCAAAAGAAAUAGGUAGUACUGUCUACAUGAUAAACAUAAGCUUGAUGGAAAGCUAUAUCAGUUAAAACUAUUUGAUGUUUACCAUGCCAACAUACACUUGAAGCAAAUCUGGUUUUAGAACUCACCCAACAGAUUACAAUGUAAAGAUUGCUAGUACUGUCUACUCAAAUUUUUUCUUCUCUGCUGGUUAAUGCAGAAUGCUUGAAUCAAGUCCCUUUCAUCAAAGAAGGAAUAAUGGUUGCUAAAUCCAAGCCUACACAUGAUAAGUAGGCAAAAAGAAGUAUAUGUGGGAUCAUUUUGUCAUGCUUUUUUUUUUAAGUUUAUUGUUCCACAACUUGCAUUAAGCUAAACUUUCCCGUGCAUGUUUUCGAAGCAGUACCAAGUUCAUAUGUUGCAUUUGGAUUUUGGACGACUUCUUUUCUCCAUACUUGCUCUAGAUAUGUUCUGGCUCUGAAGAAAACACUUAGCAUGAAGGAAUUGACUGCCAUUAACAUCAAUAUGGCACUUUCAGUUCCAUUCAUCAAAAUUAUUUUGUUACACAAGUAACUGAAUAGUCAAGUAUGGUUAGGAUCACUAGACUUCUGUUGCAUAUUCGUGGUGUUAACAAAAGCAGACAACAGCAACCACCAGCAUGAGCAUCUAUGCUUUUUACCAUUAAAAUUACAUACUUACUAAAAUAACUUACAUCCUCCCCAUAUUCAUCUGUUUCUUCAAAGUCCCUGGAUUUCUUUCUUGAGUGCCUCCUACCUGCGACCAUGCAGAGUUGUAAGAAGAUAUACAAAUUAUGAUAACUAAAUAUUUUUCUUGAAUGCCUUCAUAUUUGCCAGAUGAUUCCGAAAUGUAGAUUAGAGGGAUUUAUUGACAGUCUAUGACAUCAGAAAAAUGUUUACUGAAGGUCAAAUAUCAUAGAUUGAUUGUAUUGCCAUGCAGGUGCUGCAUUACUUAUAUUGCUGCACAUAGUUGACACAAUUUCACAAACUGCUUAGUAAUGGUAAUCAAACAAACGAGAAGCAAAAUUGUCGACUUUCAUAUUUACUGACAGUAAUCAGUUUUUUUUUCUGGAGAUAAUAAUAAGAAUGCUUUACAUAUUCUGUUUUCAGUCUCUUGUAUAGCAGAUGACCACAAUGCAUAUUAAAUUUCAAAACCAUAUCCUCAGAGUUCUACCAGCAAAGUAAGUGGCUCAGAUCAUGAUCACGAUCCUAUUUGCAUUGUCAUCAUGUUCAUCAGGUAUUACAUUUUACUUUAACCAUGAACCUGGAGAGAAUUACCUGAAAGCCCACCGAAAGUGUGCCUUCUGCUUCCUUGCUUCCUGUCCAACAGAAACUUAGCGUCACGUCGGAAAUAGAGCAUGCCGAUGAGGCCCCACAUGCAGCCUAUGUUCUCCUGACGCCUAGCCAGUCUUUGACUUCUCUUCCCCAUCAGGUUUGGUUCCUGAGAGAAACUCUGCAGUUAGCUGAUGAACACUUAGGAUUCAUCCCGAUGAACCAUGCAAGCCAAGAAUGAAAGAACAAAAGAAAUGAGAUUUUGCAGGAGCAAGAGAAGAUGAAAUGCAGCAAACUGGCAGCAUAAAACCAACAGGUUCCAGUGUUCUGUUAUUAAUUUGUGUACUGUCAAAACCAAGCAAAAUUAUCAAAGGAAGAUAUGCUAAAAACUCCUCAAAUCC
This 2452-nucleotide small RNA is filed under the name Oryza sativa Japonica Group (Japanese rice). RNAcentral describes it as "sRNA Os03g0106100". The record is from RNAcentral. Lineage: Eukaryota; Viridiplantae; Streptophyta; Magnoliopsida; Poales; Poaceae.